UAAUCAUUUGAACCCUAAAAAUUUUCCAUGUCUAAUUUCAAUUUUGAAAUACCUUAGCCACCAUCUUGCAAUCUCAGCCACCACCAAGAAUCCAAAAAUAAGUCGCACGAAGAUCACAGACGAAGCAAAAGGGUGAAGAAAUGCUGGAUUCUCAUUUUUGAACCAUUCAGAAUAGGCGACGGUGAAUGACUGUGGUGAAGACAAGCAGCAGUUAGUGUUGUGUUUGCUGGGAGUGAUGCUGGGGCAUGUUGGAGAAGCAGCAGAAGAAAAAUGCAUUUUUUGCCGGGAAAUUGCAGAAGAAAACUGUAGAAAGGUUGCAGAAGAAACCUGCAGUGGGAGAGUACUGCAUUUUAUGUAGUUUCUGCAAUUUUUUCUUUUCUGUUCAUGCAGCUAGAAUGCUGCAUUUUCUGCAGUUGUCUUGCAGAAAAUGCAGUGUUUUGCCUUCUGGUUGUGAAGCUUUGUUUAAUUGAUUAACAGUCUUCAAACGGACAAGUUGUUUUUUUUUUUUGGGUUAAUUUUAUAUUACAUUCAAUCAGAUGUACUGCACAAUAAUCUACUGUUUUGAAUAUAUUAUUUGAUACAUGAUAAAUAGACAAUUGGUAUUUGCAGUU
Pistacia vera is the source of this 611-nucleotide long non-coding RNA. RefSeq lists it as uncharacterized. NCBI's taxonomy places the organism in Eukaryota, Viridiplantae, Streptophyta, Magnoliopsida, Sapindales, Anacardiaceae. The record is from RefSeq and is a predicted model, not a curated record. The transcript is spliced from 2 exons.